Molecule: ribosomal RNA, 468 nt
Filed under: uncultured bacterium
Lineage: Bacteria
Description: partial 16S ribosomal RNA
Rfam family: Bacterial small subunit ribosomal RNA
Source: RNAcentral
GACGAACGCUGGCGGCGUGCCUAACACAUGCAAGUAGAACGGUAAGGGCGUGCCUUGGUGGGGUGCUUGAGUGGCGAACGGGUGAGUAACACGUAGGUAACCUGCCCUGUAGCGUGGGAUAACUAUAGGAAACGGUAGCUAAUACCGCAUAAGAGCACAUGUCGCAUGACAUGGGCUGGAAAGGUGCAGCGGCUGCGGAUGGACUCGCGGCUUCUCAGCUUGUUGGGGGGGUAGUGGCUUACGAAGGCUUUGACGGGUAGCCGGCCGGGGCGGGUGACCGGCCACAUUGGGACUGAGAUACGGCCCAGACUCCUACGGGAGGCAGCAGUGGGGAAUAUUGCACAAUGGGCGGAAGCCUGAUGCAGCAACGCCGCGUGCGGGAUGACGGCCUUCGGGUUGUAAACCGCUUUCGCCUGUUACGAAGCGUGAGUGACGGUAAUGGGUAAAGAAGCACCGGCUAACUACGUG